AUUGAACGCUGGCGGCAGGCCUAACACAUGCAAGUCGAGCGGCAGCGGGAAGUAGCUUGCUACUUUGCCGGCGAGCGGCGGACGGGUGAGUAAUGUCUGGGAAACUGCCUGAUGGAGGGGGAUAACUACUGGAAACGGUAGCUAAUACCGCAUAACGUCGCAAGACCAAAGAGGGGGACCUUCGGGCCUCUUGCCAUCAGAUGUGCCCAGAUGGGAUUAGCUAGUAGGUGGGGUAAUGGCUCACCUAGGCGACGAUCCCUAGCUGGUAUGAGAGGAUGACCAGCCACACUGGAACUGAGACACGGUCCAGACGCCUACGGGAGGCAGCAGUGGGGAAUAUUGCACAAUGGGCGCAAGCCUGAUGCAGCCAUGCCGCGUGUAUGAAGAAGGCCUUCGGGUUGUAAAGUACUUUCAGCGGGGAGGAAGGUGUUGAGGUUAAUAACCUCAGCAAUUGACGUUACCCGCAGAAGAAGCACCGGCUAACUCCGUGCCAGCCGCCGCCGUAA
Molecule: ribosomal RNA, 506 nt
Filed under: uncultured bacterium
Lineage: Bacteria
Description: partial 16S ribosomal RNA
Rfam family: Bacterial small subunit ribosomal RNA
Source: RNAcentral